UAAGGAGGAUGCGAGCGUUAUCCGGAUUUAUUGGGUUUAAAGGGUGCGCAGGCGGAAUGUCAAGUCAGCGGUAAAAUUUCGGGGCUCAACCCCGUCGUGCCGUUGAAACUGGCGUUCUUGAGUGAGCGAGAAGUAUGCGGAAUGCGUGGUGUAGCGGUGAAAUGCUUAGAUAUCAUGAAGAACUCCGAUCGCGAAGGCAGCGUACCGGCGCCAGACUGACGCUCAGGCACGAAAGCGUGGGUAUCGAACAGG
This 252-nucleotide ribosomal RNA is filed under the name uncultured Bacteroidales bacterium. Its description in RNAcentral is "partial 16S ribosomal RNA". It matches the Rfam family "Bacterial small subunit ribosomal RNA", at positions 524 to 776 of the family's 1533-position model. The record is from RNAcentral. Lineage: Bacteria; Pseudomonadati; Bacteroidota; Bacteroidia; Bacteroidales.